UACGAGGGGGGCAAGCGUUGUUCGGAAUUACUGGGCGUAAAGGGCGCGUAGGCGGUCCUGAUCGUCGGAUGUGAAAGGCCUGGGCUCAACCUGGGAAUGGCAUCCGAUACGGCGGGACUGGAGUGUGGGAGAGGUUGGUGGAAUUCCCAGUGUAGAGGUGAAAUUCGUAGAUAUUGGGAAGAACACCGGUGGCGAAGGCGGCCAACUGGACCACAACUGACGCUGAGGCGCGAAAGCGUGGGGAGCAAACAGG
RNAcentral lists this ribosomal RNA (253 nucleotides) under uncultured bacterium. Its description in RNAcentral is "partial 16S ribosomal RNA". It matches the Rfam family "Bacterial small subunit ribosomal RNA", at positions 524 to 776 of the family's 1533-position model. The record is from RNAcentral.